RNAcentral lists this ribosomal RNA (506 nucleotides) under uncultured Glomeromycotina. RNAcentral's name for it is "partial small subunit ribosomal RNA". It matches the Rfam family "Eukaryotic small subunit ribosomal RNA", at positions 591 to 1092 of the family's 1831-position model. Lineage: Eukaryota; Fungi; Glomeromycota. The record is from RNAcentral.
CCAAUAGCGUAUAUUAAAGUUGUUGCAGUUAAAAAGCUCGUAGUUGAAUUUCGGGAUUGACGUGAUGGUCGUGCCUUAAGGGGUAUGAACUGUUGCUGUUGAUUUCUCACCUUCUGGAGAAACUUGAUGUCCUUAAUUGGGUGUCUUGCGGAUCCAGGACCUUUACCUUGAAAAAAUUAGAGUGUUUAAAGCAGGCAUUUUGCUCGAAUACAUUAGCAUGGAAUAAUAGAAUAGGACGGCAUGGUUCUAUUUUGUUGGUUUCUAGGAUCACCGUAAUGAUUAAUAGGGAUAGUUGGGGGCAUUAGUAUUCAAUUGUCAGAGGUGAAAUUCUUGGAUUUAUUGAAGACUAACUACUGCGAAAGCAUUUGCCAAGGAUGUUUUCAUUAAUCAAGAACGAAAGUUAGGGGAUCGAAGACGAUCAGAUACCGUCGUAGUCUUAACCAUAAACUAUGCCGACUAGGAAUCAGACGAUGUUAAUUUUUUAAUGACUCGUUUGGCACCUUACA